CGGCUUGUCCGUCGGGUGUGAAAGCCCGGGGCUUAACCCCGGGUCUGCAUUCGAUACGGGCUAGCUAGAGUGUGGUAGGGGAGAUCGGAAUUCCUGGUGUAGCGGUGAAAUGCGCAGAUAUCAGGAGGAACACCGGUGGCGAAGGCGGAUCUCUGGGCCAUUACUGACGCUGAGGAGCGAAAGCGUGGGGAGCGAACAGGAUUAGAUACCCUGGUAGUCCACGCCGUAAACGGUGGGAACUAGGUGUUGGCGACAUUCCACGUCGUCGGUGCCGCAGCUAACGCAUUAAGUUCCCCGCCUGGGGAGUACGGCCGCAAGGCUAAUACUCAAAGGAUUUGACGGGGGCCCGC
Molecule: ribosomal RNA, 350 nt
Filed under: Streptomyces resistomycificus
Lineage: Bacteria; Bacillati; Actinomycetota; Actinomycetes; Kitasatosporales; Streptomycetaceae
Description: bacterial SSU rRNA
Rfam family: Bacterial small subunit ribosomal RNA
Source: RNAcentral